GAGUGAACGCUGGCGGUAGGCCUAACCCAUGCAAGUCGAACGGCAGCACAGUAAGAGCUUGCUCUUACGGGUGGCGAGUGGCGGACGGGUGAGGAAUACAUCGGAAUCUACUUUUUCGUGGGGGAUAACGUAGGGAAACUUACGCUAAUACCGCAUACGACCUACGGGUGAAAGCAGGGGAUCUUCGGACCUUGCGCGAUUGAAUGAGCCGAUGUCGGAUUAGCUAGUUGGCGGGGUAAAGGCCCACCAAGGCGACGAUCCGUAGCUGGUCUGAGAGGAUGAUCAGCCACACUGGAACUGAGACACGGUUCAGACUCCUACGGGAGGCAGCAGUGGGGAAUAUUGGACAAUGGGCGCAAGCCUGAUCCAGCCAUACCGCGUGGGUGAAGAAGGCCUUCGGGUUGUAAAGCCCUUUUGUUGGGAAAGAAAAGCAGCAGGUUAAUACCCCGCUGUUCUGACGGUACCCAAAGAAUAAGCACCGGCUAACUUCGUG
Molecule: ribosomal RNA, 493 nt
Filed under: uncultured bacterium
Lineage: Bacteria
Description: partial 16S ribosomal RNA
Rfam family: Bacterial small subunit ribosomal RNA
Source: RNAcentral